AGGAUAAACGCUGGCGGCGUGCCUAACACAUGCAAGUCGAACGUCUCUUCUUUCGGGAAGAGGAGUGGCGGACGGGUGAGGAACACGUGGGAACCUGCCCUUCAGUGAGGAAUACCGGCGAGAAAUCGCCGACAAGACCGCAUAGCCCUCUCUGGUGAGAGCCAGAGAAGGAAAGCCUCGCAAGAGGCGCUGGAGGAGGGGCCUGCGUCCGAUUAGCUAGUUGGUGGGGUAAGAGCCUACCAAGGCGUCGAUCGGUAGCUGGUCUGAGAGGACGAUCAGCCACACUGGGAUUGAGAACGGCCCAGACUCCUACGGGGGGCAGCAGUGAGGAAUUUUCGUCAAUGGGGGCAACCCUGAACGAGCAACGCCGCGUGCAGGAUGACACUUUUCGGAGCGUAAACUGCUUUUCUUAGGGACGAGUAAGGACGGUACCUAAGGAAUCAGCCCCGGCUAACUACGCGCCAGCAGCCGC
RNAcentral lists this ribosomal RNA (472 nucleotides) under uncultured bacterium. RNAcentral's name for it is "SSU rRNA". It matches the Rfam family "Bacterial small subunit ribosomal RNA", at positions 26 to 518 of the family's 1533-position model. The record is from RNAcentral.